UUUGAAAUUUACGGCAGCUAUGAAUGGAGCCUUCACUCCUCGUUUUCACUAUCUUGAUUCCCAUCUCUCUCACGCAUAGUGCUAUGAGCAGCGCGAGUCCAAUCGGCGCUUGCGCCGCCCGGCUCAUGGCUGCCGCGUGCUCGCCGCGGCGCGCUCGAUCGCGGUUGGCGCCGCUUGCGGCGGCGGUGGUUCCGGCCGGACUCUCGGAGGGGGUUCUUAUGCUGGCCGAUGCUGUCUCUUCCGCGCGCACGGAGGUAGGGGCCGGGACUCGCGACGAGCUCGUCUGCUUCGUUAGUUCCCAAUAUCAGCCGCCACUCGAGUGUCCCUCCUCCUCUCGCUUUCUGUUCGAUCCUCAACCCCUGCAUCCCUCAUGCCGAGGUGGCUGGUAGGAACGAGAUGUGCAAGCUAAUUAGAGAAGUUCAAUAUACCCGUAAUGCUCGAACUCAAAUGUACUGUUCUAUUUUGUGUAUGAUGAUAUGUUUAUUUGAUCGAAUGAAUUCGGUGUUGAUGUUGCUCCUUAAAGGUCAUGCUAUACCUUCAAGGUAUGCUUGUUCAAUGGCCUCUUUCAAUUUGUUUAUCAUAAGUUUUGUUAUAGCUUUGAUGACGUAAUAAAAUAUGUUCCGUAACAAGUUUAUUGCA
This is a long non-coding RNA of Musa acuminata AAA Group (dessert banana), 639 nucleotides long. RefSeq lists it as uncharacterized. The record is from RefSeq and is a predicted model, not a curated record. NCBI's taxonomy places the organism in Eukaryota, Viridiplantae, Streptophyta, Magnoliopsida, Zingiberales, Musaceae. The transcript has 2 exons.